This is a long non-coding RNA of Stomoxys calcitrans (stable fly), 1047 nucleotides long. RefSeq lists it as uncharacterized. The transcript is spliced from 4 exons. Lineage: Eukaryota; Metazoa; Arthropoda; Insecta; Diptera; Muscidae. The record is from RefSeq and is a predicted model, not a curated record.
ACCAAACACCAUCACUGACGGUGGAGCCUAAAACAGAAAACCGUUAACAGGGGUUGACUAACACAAUGUUGCACCCUUGACGCAAUAGUUAAUGGCGAGCAUUGGUUGCAAACGGUCGUGUUUCGAAACUCAAAGCGGCAAAAUAACCACCAUUACCAUACAUCAAAUAAUGACAAAUAAAGAAAAACCCAUACUUUUUUGAAUUUUCCUCAAACAAAAAGCAAUAAAAAUAAAAACCUAUAACAAACAAAUCGUUCAAAGAAACCAUAAAAAUUGUUGGUUUAAAGUUUAAAGUGAAUUGAAAUUGAAGUGCGGAAACUUGAACAGUGAAGUGAAAAAUCCAAUCAGUCUAGAGUAAAAAUUAUUUGAAGGUGGUUGAAAUUGAAAGGAGUUGAAUAAAGUGCUGAACCGAAAAGUGGUGUUGAAGCGUUACAUUUGCUUAAAAAUAUAUUAAAAAAAAAUAACAUACACACACAGAGCAGAGAAAAACUCACAUUUCCUUUUGGCUUUAACUGUUCAUAUUUUCCGUUUCGUUUGCCCGUUUCCUUACCCGUUACACUCGCUUGCUUUGGGGGUGUUUGGUGUUCUCAUGGCAACGUAACUAACCAACCAACCAGCCAACCGAAAACAAAAAACAACAACAACAGAAACAUUAAGGAAAAACUUAUUGUUAAUAUAUCAAUAUUGGAACUUUUUCUUUUGUAUAUAUACCUACCGAUAUAUAUAUAUACAUGUACGUUGAAAAGGAUAACAAAAGGAUAAUGACCUAAAAUAAUGUUUGAGUGUGAAUGGCAGUAAUUUAAUUGGAACCCAUACAAUUUAUGCAACCAAUUAAAACUUUAAUAAAUCAAUAGUAAAGGCGAAAAUAAUUUCAGGAAGAAGGACGAACACAAGGAUGCAAUAUCAUUUACAAAGGCUACAACUAUGAACAUUAAAUAUCCUUAAGCGAAAUAAGCUACAAAUACACCCCGCAACAUUAAAGCGACAGAGCGUACUCUCAAUUUCGGGAAAAACUAGGAAAAAAGGGAGAGGUUAAUAGAGAGAGGG